RNAcentral lists this ribosomal RNA (232 nucleotides) under uncultured bacterium. RNAcentral's name for it is "partial 16S ribosomal RNA". It matches the Rfam family "Bacterial small subunit ribosomal RNA", at positions 99 to 334 of the family's 1533-position model. The record is from RNAcentral.
CGGACGGGUGAGUAAUGUCUGGGAAACUGCCUGAUGGAGGGGGAUAACUACUGGAAACGGUAGCUAAUACCGCAUAACGUCGCAAGACCAAAGAGGGGGACCCUCGGGCCUCUUGCCAUCGGAUGUGCCCAGAUGGGAUUAGCUAGUAGGUGGGGUAACGGCUCACCUAGGCGACGAUCCCUAGCUGGUCUGAGAGGAUGACCAGCCACACUGGAACUGAGACACGGUCCAG